This 229-nucleotide ribosomal RNA is filed under the name uncultured bacterium. Its description in RNAcentral is "partial 16S ribosomal RNA". It matches the Rfam family "Bacterial small subunit ribosomal RNA", at positions 568 to 796 of the family's 1533-position model. The record is from RNAcentral.
UGCGUAGGCGGCUUGAUAAGUCAGAGGUGAAAGGCUACAGCUCAACUGUAGAAUUGCCUUUGAUACUGUCGAGCUUGAAUCAGGUUGAGGUUGGCGGAAUGUGGCAUGUAGCGGUGAAAUGCAUAGAUAUGCCAUAGAACACCAAUUGCGAAGGCAGCUGACUGGACCUGGAUUGACGCUGAGGCACGAAAGCGUGGGGAGCGAACAGGAUUAAAUACCCUGGUAGUCC